RNAcentral lists this ribosomal RNA (121 nucleotides) under Castor canadensis (American beaver). The record is from RNAcentral. Lineage: Eukaryota; Metazoa; Chordata; Mammalia; Rodentia; Castoridae.
AAUCUAGGCCACACCACCCUGAACGUGUCUGAUCUCUUCUGAUCUUGGAAGCUAAGCAGAGUUGGGCCUGGUGAGUAGUUGAAUGGGAGAAAGCUCUUUAAAAAACCAAGUUCCAGGGUUA